RNAcentral lists this long non-coding RNA (879 nucleotides) under Homo sapiens (human). Its description in RNAcentral is "non-protein coding lnc-CPZ-1:1". The record is from RNAcentral. Lineage: Eukaryota; Metazoa; Chordata; Mammalia; Primates; Hominidae.
AGGCAGGAGAAUUGCUUGAAUCUGGGAGGCGUAGCUUGCAGUGAGCUGAGAUUGCACCACUGCACUCCAGCCUGGGCGACAGAGUGAGACUCUGUCUCAAAAAAAAAAAAAAAAAAAAAAAAGCUCCUAGCAUGGGGCUUGGGACACGGUGAGGACAAUUAAAUGUGAAUAUCACCCUCGUUAUUAUUGCAUAUCAUCAUCACCACCAGCAGCACCUUCAUGACCACCAUCAGCACUACCAGCAUCACCGCCAUUAUCAGCACCGCCACCCUCACCAUUGUUGCUAUCAUCCUUGUAAACCAAGAAGUAUCUGAGACAAGUCUCAAUCAGUUUAGAAGUUUAUUUUGCCAGGGUUAAGGACCUGCUCAGAAGAAAAGAACACAGAUUGACAAAAACGGUGGGUGGUCUGUGCCAUUCUCCAAAAAUGAUUUUGAGGGCCUCAAUAAAAAUCCUGGACAAGGCUACAAUCUAAUAACAAGUCUAUUAUAGUUUUUCUUGAGACAUAAUUUUUCUCUUUCCAAUUCCCCAAUUUUGUUAGAGACAAAAUCAUAGUAGGACCAAUUUAUUUGUAAAAUUACGUUUUAGUUUAAUGAUAGUUAGCUUGAUUAUUUGCAUAAAGUGCAGCAAGAAUUAUCUGCCGUAUAGGCUUUAAAAAAUUUUUGCUUGGCUGGAAACUUUUUCAUAAGGAAUCUAAGAUUAGACCUUUCCAAAAGGCUUGAGCCCAGCCAAGGAUUUAUCUGUGCCUGCAGAUACCUGUAUGAAUUGGGUGACUUCCUCUCUUUUCGAGGUCCCAAGAAAACGAUCCUGGGCCUGUCAGAAAGUGACAUUCUCACCCGCCACAGGUCAGAACCCUGUAAAGGACAAGGUAUGAGGCCAGUU